CAGCCGCCGCGGUAAUACGAAGGGGGCUAGCGUUGUUCGGAAUUACUGGGCGUAAAGGGCGCGUAGGCGGCCAUUCAAGUUAGAUGUGAAAGCCCUGGGCUCAACCUAGGAAUUGCAUUUGAUACUGUUUGGCUUGAGUUCGGGAGAGGUGAGUGGAAUUCCCAGUGUAGAGGUGAAAUUCGUAGAUAUUGGGAAGAACACCAGUGGCGAAGGCGGCCCACUGGACCGACACUGACGCUGAGGCGCGAAAGCGUGGGGAGCAAACAGGAUUAGAUACCCCCGUAGUCCCUGUCUCUUAUAC
RNAcentral lists this ribosomal RNA (301 nucleotides) under uncultured bacterium. RNAcentral describes it as "partial 16S ribosomal RNA". It matches the Rfam family "Bacterial small subunit ribosomal RNA", at positions 509 to 807 of the family's 1533-position model. The record is from RNAcentral.